CUUUGUUAAAGGCUGAGUUCAUGGCUUUGUUUUGACAGGAUUCAUCUUGAAAGUAGGUCUACACAGGACCUUGUUAUGGAAAUUAAUCAGUGCAGGUCUCAGAUACAAGACACACAGGCCUAAGUAGGCUUCUAGAAAAAUGGUGAAGUACAAAGAACCAGGUAGAUAUGGGUUUUCCUCCCAUCUGAGAAUCAGACGGCAGUGCAGGCUGCAGGAAGCAAGGCAAUUCACAGCUCUUUGGGAAUCAGCAGUCAAUGACCUCUCCCGCUUGGAAGUACACACUUCACACAUCAUCGUUGCUUGUCCUAUCAGAAAUGAGUCCCAUUUAUUUAUCCUUCCAAGAGUCCACUACCAGAAAUUUAAUGAGUAUGCUCUUCCAGAUGAUGACAUCCAGUGGAUUUCUUAUUUUCCCAGCAAGAAUUUUUGUGCUUCUCAUUCCCCGAGUGCAGGUAGGUCAUAUAGCCAAAUACACAUUGUUCUGCUUCAGACUAAAGACUGCUUUCUAAGUUUUGCUUUGUAAAGGUAUUGUUAUUACAUCUUUUCAUUCUAAGCUUUCCUGUGUCUUCUGUCUACACCAUAGCUGUUUUUUCACCCUGAUUUGUUUUAAACAGCCUUAUGAUAAGCCAGUAUAGCAGCUGUCAAAGGGUUAAUGUUUUUCCUUCUGCAGUGUGUAACAGAAGAACAAGAGAAAACAAGAAACCCACAGGAGAACCUUUGGGUUCAGCACAUAAACAAGAAAACAAAUAGAGAAGUAAAUGGCAGUGCAAAAAUUUCAGCCAAGCUUCCACUGUUCUCCAGGGCAGUUACAACUCAGCUGGAAAAAUACAGGCAAACAUUCUCAUGCAGAGCAGCCGUAUUGGUGAUAGAUAUGUGGAGCAUUGGACUAGUCAUUUACAAAUCUACCUUCAUGUAUGAUUCUUUGGGGGAUUUGCUGAAUUGAUUUUAAUUACUUGCUAUUUUUUGCUUGAGAUACCUACCAGCAGUAAUUCACAAAUAUAUUUCAAUUCAGAAGACAAAGAGAGUAGGUCAUUUACAUAUUUUUUUCUACCAACACUCUGCUUGGACUGACAGCCUCAAGAACUGUGUGGAGAAGUGAUAGCUUAGAUUAGGCCAGCUGAUACAGGUGGAAAAAUCAAGCGAGCUUUCUGCCAUAUAGUCCCUUCAUCAAACUGAAUGCUAUGUUUAUUAUUGCAUUACUGCAAUGUAAUACUACUGUAAGUCUGUAGAAAUCAAUAGAGUUCCACUGGUGUAAUAUUAGGGUAACCUAGCAGUAAAUCAAUCCAUGAAUUGUUGUGGUUGAUGAGUGCUGAAGCUGAGCUUCAUUUCCUGCAAAGGUCAGAGUGAUGGAUUUGUCAUCAAAUUUCACCUCCCCUGCUGCAUGUUUAUUUAUAAAUGGCCUUUCAUAAAACAGCAAAAUAAGGCAUAUUUUAUCAUUCCACAUAAGUUAGAGCUUUUCUGAAUUGAGACAAGAUGACAAAUGAGGUCCUUGAACCUCCUGGAUUUGACAAAAAGGCUUUGUC
This 1520-nucleotide long non-coding RNA is filed under the name Anser cygnoides (Swan goose). RNAcentral describes it as "lncRNA (ENSACDG00005010013.1)". The record is from RNAcentral. Lineage: Eukaryota; Metazoa; Chordata; Aves; Anseriformes; Anatidae.